RNAcentral lists this ribosomal RNA (483 nucleotides) under uncultured bacterium. RNAcentral describes it as "partial 16S ribosomal RNA". It matches the Rfam family "Bacterial small subunit ribosomal RNA", at positions 30 to 507 of the family's 1533-position model. The record is from RNAcentral.
AUUGAACGCUGGCGGCAGGCCUAACACAUGCAAGUCGAGCGGAUGAAGGGAGCUUGCUCCUGGAUUCAGCGGCGGACGGGUGAGUAAUGCCUAGGAAUCUGCCUGGUAGUGGGGGAUAACGUCCGGAAACGGGCGCUAAUACCGCAUACGUCCUGAGGGAGAAAGUGGGGGAUCUUCGGACCUCACGCUAUCAGAUGAGCCUAGGUCGGAUUAGCUAGUUGGUGGGGUAAAGGCCUACCAAGGCGACGAUCCGUAACUGGUCUGAGAGGAUGAUCAGUCACACUGGAACUGAGACACGGUCCAGACUCCUACGGGAGGCAGCAGUGGGGAAUAUUGGACAAUGGGCGAAGGCCUGAUCCAGCCAUGCCGCGUGUGUGAAGAGGUCUUCGGAUUGUAAAGCACUUUAAGUUGGGAGGAAGGGCAGUAAGUUAAUACCUUGCUGUUUUGACGUUACCAACAGAAUAAGCACCGGCUAACUUCGUG